GAUGAACGCUGGCGGCGUGCCUAAUACAUGCAAGUCGAGCGAACAGACGAGGAGCUUUCUCCUCUGACGUUAGCGGCGGACGUGUGAGUAACACGUGGAUAACCUACCUAUAAGACUGGGAUAACUUCGGGAAACCGGAUCUAAUCCCGUAUAAUAUGUUGACCCGCAUGGUUCAAUAGUGAAAGACGGUUUUGCUGUCACUUAGAGAUGGAUCCGCGCCGCAUUAGCUAGUUGGUAAGGUAACGGAUUACCAAGGCAACGAUGCGUAGCCGACCUGAGAGGGUGAUAGGCCACACUGGAACUGUGACACGGUCCAGACUACUCCGGGAGGCAGCAGUAGAGAAUCUUACGCAGAGGGAGGAAGCAUGACGGAGCAAAGCCGCGUGAGUGAUGAAGGUCUUCGGAUCGUAAAACUCUGUUAUUAGGGAAGAACAAAUGUGUAAGUAACUAUGCACGUCUUGACGGUACCUAAUCAGAAAGCCACGGCUAACUACGUG
This 497-nucleotide ribosomal RNA is filed under the name uncultured bacterium. RNAcentral's name for it is "partial 16S ribosomal RNA". It matches the Rfam family "Bacterial small subunit ribosomal RNA", at positions 28 to 507 of the family's 1533-position model. The record is from RNAcentral.